Molecule: long non-coding RNA, 259 nt
Filed under: Hordeum vulgare
Lineage: Eukaryota; Viridiplantae; Streptophyta; Magnoliopsida; Poales; Poaceae
Description: long non-coding RNA (HVUL_LNC001259)
Source: RNAcentral
CCCCUUGAUAGUACAGCAAUCUAUCCUAAACAGAAAACCUAUCAAGGGAAAACCUAUACCUUGCACCUCGUCCUCUUGAGCUAGAUGAUGAUGAUCUUGGCUUCCUCAAGAUGGACCACCUUUCUUGAUUGUGUUGGCAUGAUGAAGACUAGUUGAUUGCUCCCCCAUACUCACUAUGGGUGAGCCACUCUUCAGCAUAUCUUCAUAAGUCCAUUGCCACCACAACGGACGGCAAGCUUCAAGCAUGAUAUCUUCGUGC